GACGAACGCUGGCGGCGUGCUUAACACAUGCAAGUCGAACGAUGACGACCUACCUUGCUGGGUCUGACUAGUGGCGAACGGGUGAGUAACACGUGAGCAACCUGCCCUUCACUCUGGGAUAACUUCGGGAAACCGGGGCUAAUACCGGAUAUGAGCUCCUGCUGCAUGGCGGGGGUUGGAAAGUUUUUCGGUGUAGGAUUGGCUCGCGGCCUUUCAGUUUGUUGGUGGGGUAGUGGCUCACCAAGGCGAUGACGGGUAGCCGGCCUGAGAGGGCGACCGGCCACACUGGGACUGAGACACGGCCCAGACUCCUACGGGAGGCAGCAGUGGGGAAUAUUGCACAAUGGGCGGAAGCCUGAUGCAGCAACGCCGCGUGAGGGAUGACGGCCUUCGGGUUGUAAACCUCUUUCAGCAGGGACGAAGCGAAAGUGACGGUACCUGCAGAAGAAGCGCCGGCUAACUACGUG
RNAcentral lists this ribosomal RNA (467 nucleotides) under uncultured bacterium. RNAcentral describes it as "partial 16S ribosomal RNA". It matches the Rfam family "Bacterial small subunit ribosomal RNA", at positions 28 to 507 of the family's 1533-position model. The record is from RNAcentral.